CUCUACUCUACUCUACUCUACUCUACUCUACUCUACUCUACUCUACUCUACUCGGAGCCGCGUCCGGCCUGCCUCUCUGCCUCCCCGCCGGCCCCCGCAGGGAGGAUGCGCUUGCGGGUGGGAGGUUUGAAGGGUCCAUAUGCUCUGGUCUCGCUCCUGGCUCUGUCACAGUCUCCCUCUGUCGUUCAAGGGCACACUUCAGCAGCCUGAGAACUCAGUUUUUCAGCUUUCAAGAUGGAGCAAUACUUUAUUUAUGUACAUCUCACAGCAAUGACAGCGAGGUGUCCAGAUACGUGGCGCGAGUGUCCACAAGGGUGUGUGAAUAAAAGACAGGGACAGCACCUGCAUAUGUACAUCAAUGUGUGUUUGCAAACAUACACACUCAUGUAGCAACAGUGACAAUAAACUGUGCAUGUUAUGAAAAUUUCCUGGUUGCCAACUGUGACAUUAGAAGCCAUUUCUCCAAAGAGGGCCUGUGCUGUCUUGAUGUCUGUGAAUCACUUUAGGAGAGAGAUACACUUGCAAAGAGGCCUCCUGCCAAAUUCAGAACCCACUACCUUUCAACCAGUCUCAGUACAGAUUUAAUUCUCAAGAAUAAAAUUAGUCGAGAACUUGGGUUUAUUUUAGCCAUUGGUUUCAAAUUAAACUGUCUUCUCCUUAAUCAGCUGCAUUUCCAGGAGUAACUUACUCUUAGCAAAAUUUCCCUGGGAGAGAUUAGCCAUGUAAAACUGUUGAUUGCCACUUUUGGCCUUUUGUUGAUAUUUUCCUUCUUUUACACAUUUUCUACUCCUUUUGACUUUGCUGCUGUUGAUAUAUCACAGGGCAAUGAAUGGAAUACACCCUAUAUUGUCUGCUGUUGACAUAUCACAGUGCAAUGAAUGGAAUACACACUAUAUUGGUGCAUUUGCAAGUUCAGCCCCACAUUUACAUUUGGUUGAAUUACACAUUUCUUACACAUUGAGGCUUUUAGCUGGUAGAAAAUUGAUCUGGUACUGUCCUUUUGACUUCCCAGCAAUACUCAAAUUUCACUACAAAUGACAAGAGACGAAGUAACAGAAAACAUUUAAUUAGAAAAAUAAUGCAUCUGAUAUACACAUCCAACAUGUUUUUACAUAUUUUACGUUUAUGGAAUAGUGCAAGUCCUUCACAAAAAUCUGCAAGUCAGUGCUUGAAGAGAAUAUAGAAAUAUUACAGAGGCAUCUUACAGAGGCAUGUGUGGAGAACAGUUCUGGUACUGAAGGAUGUGCUAUGUGAUGGACUGAUCAGUUUCUGUUCAUGUUAUAGUGAAAUGAAACAGACAACAUCAUAUUUGGGUUACUAUGAGACCUUUUUGUCAUGAAAGGAUAGCUGAAAAUUGCUAUAACCACUGAAGUCCUCAGCAAGUUGAUUUGCGCAAUUGGUCUUUAAAAGAUUAAAUAAAUGAUGCUCUAAUUGCAUCACUGUGGUCACACCAUACCACUAGUACACCUAGUCUUCUCAUCUAUAUUGCACUAGGCUGUAAGACUGCGUUGGUCUUUGCACAAACCAGAAUGAAAGAAUGGAGAAGUAUAGGCAAGAUGAGUCUGGUGUCUCAAGGUGCUCCUAACCAAAGAGGAUUAUUGCAGUUACGAUGUUCUGCUAUUACUCCUGAGUUUUCAAAUCAUAAAAAGUACUUUAGUCAGGGUUAGCUUGUUGGAAAGCUAACUGUCUCACCCAUAUUUACAUAAUCCCAGAUUCGUAUUUAUAAAUGCCACACAUUUUAGGACUCAGAAGCAGAGAAAAAGAAGAUGUACUUAAAACACUUUUAGCAAACGAAGAACAAUUCAUGUCAAUGGCCAGUUGCCAGUGUGCAAUCAGGUAUGACUAAUGGUGAAAACACAGUAGUUAGUUUCAGUCUUGGUGAUCUCAUCAGAAUUACGAAUGCAAAAAAUAACAAGGCAAUUCUAAAUUAAUCCUUGAUUCAUGUACAAUCUGCAAAAGCAUGUAUUUUCUUAAGUCACACAGGCCUUCCAGUCAUGCUGCACAGAAGCUCUUACUGGUUUAACAAAAAUAAACAUGUGUACAGGGCUGCAGAGUGAACUCAUCAAUGCAAGAUGUAAAUAUGUCUAUCAUACAGGGUGUUUGCAGUAGUAGAGCAAUAAAGAAGUGAACAGCUAAACUUUGACUAUGGAUGCAAGACUGAGACACUAGCAUAGUACUGAUGUGAAGCAAAAACCAGGAGAAUUUGAAUGGUGAGGGGAAUUUCAGUCUAUGGAUAAUUAGUGUGCAAAAGGUUCUGAAAAGAAUCAAGUGACUUGUAUUUAGUGAAUAAUUCUCCUAAUAUAUUUUCCCUGUAUAUAACACAGGUACCUCUCUUUACAUUCAUUGACAUUCAAUCUAUUUGUGCAGAGAGGAGGCACUAAAGCAUUACAAGAUACUGAGACGUUAGCACCAGAAUCUGUAGUAAAGGAAAUCUAAUGGUAUGAGGGAAAGAGUGAGGGCAGGCAGAGAAUUAACUCUGCUCCUGGUGUGAUUUAACAAACCCUAGAAUAAUUUCUGGAAUAAACUGAAAAUUAAAAGCUUGAACUCAGCAUGCAAAAUCCUCAAGAAGGUAUUUUAUCCAUGAGGCUGUACUUGCAAAAGAAAGAGUUGUCUUGCAGAUGGUGAAGGUCAUGUAUAUAUGUGUAAGCAGCAAGCAUUCUGUUCACUAUCUGUUCACUAAGCUUUUUUGAAAACAGCAUUUCCAGGGAAAAUCUCUGUUGUAAUGAAAUAGCCUUCUCUAAACUUGCCUGCCAGCUUUUUACAAAUCCUUUCCAUGUGGAGUGUCUUAAGCCCUCUUCUUUUGAUGGUCUUUUCCCUGUUGUAUUCAUGCAUAUUCUUUGUGCUUUGGUUCAUACUGAUCUGUAGCAGAUGGAGAGGUGGAGAGCAGAAGGAGUUUUUUCCCACUUUAAGAGUCCCUGAAGGUCAAAAUAUCUGCCCUGAGUUUCAUUAUCGGAAAAGAAAAUGCAGGUUUAAUGUGGCUUCUGAUUACAUGGUACUUAAGAAGGUCGUGCUGGCCUGUGAGUCUAUUUCAUUACAAAACAGCAGGUAAUAAAAAAAAAAAAAAUUAGAUCUUGUGAAUAAACUGUCUUUGUCAUGUGACAGAAGAAGGCUGACUGGUCCUGACAAGAAAAGCUUAAAAGCAGCGCUUCAGCUGCUUUUACAAUCAGAUUACUGUUUCUCUUUAAUUGUCUUAUUAAAAUCCACAGACUUGGUGAAUUCCAGUAAUUCUUUACUGUCUCCUCACAAGAUCAUAUGGUCAUUUAACACCACUCUGAUUACUAAACAAAAGGGAAAUCUUUACCCCCAGUUAAAAACCCUUCUGCAAACAAACAGUCUGAGGAUUGCUGUCCUUUAGCCAAAUAGCUUUUUGCUUGAAUUACUCAAUGAAACAUGGCCAAGCAUCUUUCCAAAUAUGGAGAAGAAAAGCAUUGUGUUCCCCCCGCCCCCCCCCCUUCACGUUCCCCAAAUACAGCUGGACAGAGCACAUCCUUGCACUCAGUCCACACAGUAUUUGUGCCUGCAGAGACAGCACCACAAUAUCACAUACCCUACAAUUUUUGAAGGAAUGCAGGUCAGUUUUGUUUUUACAGUAAGGAUGUUCUGCUAGCAGCAUUGUGCCACAGUGGAAACCCAGCUGCAACUGAAAUGUUAGGUCUUCUGCAGGAAUUUUACAGAAUUCUAGAUUUUAGCUAAACUAGAGAUAAAAUGACAGCUCAACACAAAUCAGAACCUGAUGUUAGUUAAGCUUGUUUUAAGACUUUCUUUGUGCUCAAGCACACAGUGCCCAUCUGAGGAAACCUAACACAAUAUGUAGCUAGCAGAACUAGUCUUUUUUCUUCCUUUUAACCUUUGCCAGUGUACGGGAUUACUCUGCUUCCACUUCCUCUUGCAGGUGUCAGGCAGUAUUUCAGCAGGGGGUGUUUAAGGAACUGUAUGAGGAGGAAAGCUUUCAAGAAUAGCAUUUUCAGAGUAGGGGUAGAAAUACUUUCAAUCUCAGAAAAUGAUCUCUGAAAUCCACCACCAGGGAGACAUUAAUACAGUACCAGAGUAGUGCCAGGCCCUGGUAGGUUAUAUCCAGCUUUCAUAGUUUAAAUGAAAGCAGCAGAGCUGUUCUAGGGAAGGGGGAGAAAGAAAAGGCUUUGGGAAGUUACUUUAUCCUCUUUCUUCCUGUGCCCUUUAGGAGAAAGGACACGUCCAGCUCCUGAGUCCUGGGAUGUGUGUCUUCUCCUCUUGGCUGAGAAGCUUCACCUCCCAGUGCUGCAGUGCCUUACCUCCCUGUAGCUUCAUUCAUUGCCCCCAGACUAUAGCAAAGAUCAAGACUGCAGUCUUGCUGCAAAGCAGGACCUGCUCUUGGAAGCUCCCUAUGUUAGAAUGCAUUGGUGGAACACACUGUCUUAGCCCUUUCUGACAGUUAAAAUUUUAAUUUGUUUUUUUAGUGGUAAUAGUGGAAGGACAGUGGAGGAGAUGCAUUGUGCAUUCAGUACUGCGGGGCCAAAGCUAGGCUAUCAGGAUUUUAGUCAUAAAAUGUGAGUUGAUUUUUUGGCCACUUUAGGCCUCAGUCGUAAACAGAACAUAUGAAAGAAACAAAGAAUUUUCUAUAAAUAUAAGAGUAUUCUCAAGAAGGCAGAAUAAAAGGAGAUUAAGCUCUUAAAUUAUCACUUUUUAUCAUUAAAAGUUGGGAGAGAUACUUCACAAUCUUUUAAAAUACCAGUAAUUCACUGGCUGUAAUUAUUUUAAGAUAAAUUUUCCAGGGCUAGAAACUUGAAGUCCAGACUUCCCACAUAAAUACUGUUUAAACACACACAAAUUGAGGCCAGUAAUGUUUUAUUUACACACACAAAUCCCAUUGACACCUCUGGGAGUUCUGACACAGACUGAAGAGAAUACAUAGUACUUGAAUAAGAGCAAAAUAUCUGUCCACAUGACUUUGGAAAAAGAUUAUAAUGUAGGAGGAGAAGUGUCAGUCUGCCAAAAAUUGCUCCUUUCAGGCAGAGGUCUGUGCAGUUUAGUCUUCAGCAGAGCAAAUAAGCAUUUGUAUGAGCCAAAUAAUGGGUUAUUAGUUCAAGCUAUAACAAAAAGAAAAACAAGAUUCGUAUUGCUUCUCAGUAUUCAGACAAUGAUGAAGUUUAGUUAUAAAAAUUUUGUUUUCACUGGUGGACAAGCCCAAUGCACAAUAAGGAUAUCAUAUGGCUAGCUUCUAAGAUGAAAAAAAGGUAGGCAAAAUCAAAACAUCUGCUGGUCUCUGUUUGCACAGCAGAUGUUCACUACACUUCCAAGUUAAGAUCUUCAGAAUUCAUGAAGCAUACUUUAUCCAUAAGCACACAAUCAGUCUGUCUUUGGCCUAUAACAUUCAUAUGAAACUGAGUACAUUUUGCCAUAUUCUACACUCUGAAGUAUGUGCUGUGUGAUUUUUGAAAGAUCCAGGCAAACACUGAAUGUAAGAAAAUCAUGGAAGGCACCUUUGAUCAUAUUCUAGGUAACCUGAGAUUCUGAAAACACCAGUGGGGCAGGACAAAGAUAUAGAUAUAGUCUGUAGGGUGAAGCUUGUUUAUGGCAUUUUUUGCUCCUGAAUGGGUUGAUACAAAUGAAAAA
This is a non-coding RNA of Taeniopygia guttata (zebra finch), 5592 nucleotides long. Lineage: Eukaryota; Metazoa; Chordata; Aves; Passeriformes; Estrildidae. The record is from RefSeq and is a predicted model, not a curated record.